GAGUUUGAUCAUGGCUCAGGAUGAACGCUAGCGGCAGGCUUAACACAUGCAAGUCGAGGGGUAGAGUAGCAAUACUUGAGACCGGCGCACGGGUGCGUAACGCGUAUGCAACCUACCUUUUACAGAGGGAUAGCCCAGAGAAAUUUGGAUUAAUACCUCAUAGUAUAUGUCUUUCGCAUGUUAGACAUAUUAAAGUUCCAACGGUAAAAGAUGGGCAUGCGUCCUAUUAGCUAGAUGGUAAGGUAACGGCUUACCAUGGCAACGAUAGGUAGGGGUCCUGAGAGGGAGAUCCCCCACACUGGUACUGAGACACGGACCAGACUCCUACGGGAGCAGCAGUGAGGAAUAUUGGACAAUGGGCGCAAGCCUGAUCCAGCCAUGCCGCGUGCAGGAAGACGGUCCU
This 403-nucleotide ribosomal RNA is filed under the name uncultured Flavobacterium sp. RNAcentral describes it as "bacterial SSU rRNA". It matches the Rfam family "Bacterial small subunit ribosomal RNA", at positions 9 to 418 of the family's 1533-position model. Lineage: Bacteria; Pseudomonadati; Bacteroidota; Flavobacteriia; Flavobacteriales; Flavobacteriaceae. The record is from RNAcentral.